Molecule: unclassified non-coding RNA, 334 nt
Filed under: soil metagenome
Description: partial contains 5.8S ribosomal RNA, internal transcribed spacer 2, and large subunit ribosomal RNA
Rfam family: 5.8S ribosomal RNA (bases 1-120)
Source: RNAcentral
GAUGAAGAACGCAGCGAAAUGCGAUAAGUAAUGUGAAUUGCAGAAUUCAGUGAAUCAUCGAAUCUUUGAACGCACAUUGCGCCCGCUAGUAUUCUGGCGGGCAUGCCUGUUCGAGCGUCAUUUCAACCAUCAAGCCCUGCUUGUGUUGGGGUCCUGCGGCUGCCCGCAGGCCCUGAAAACCAGUGGCGGGCUCGCUAGUCACACCGAGCGCAGUAGCACAUCUCGCUCAGGGCGUGCGGCGGGUUCUUGCCGUAAAACACCCCCUUUUUACCAAGGUUGACCUCGGAUCAGGUAGGAAUACCCGCUGAACUUAAGCAUAUCAAUAAGCGGAGGA